This 492-nucleotide ribosomal RNA is filed under the name uncultured bacterium. Its description in RNAcentral is "partial 16S ribosomal RNA". It matches the Rfam family "Bacterial small subunit ribosomal RNA", at positions 29 to 507 of the family's 1533-position model. The record is from RNAcentral.
AGUGAACGCUGGCGGUAGGCCUAACACAUGCAAGUCGAACGGCAGCACAGUAAGAGCUUGCUCUUACGGGUGGCGAGUGGCGGACGGGUGAGGAAUACAUCGGAAUCUACUUUUUCGUGGGGGAUAACGUAGGGAAACUUACGCUAAUACCGCAUACGACCUACGGGUGAAAGCAGGGGAUCUUCGGACCUUGCGCGAUUGAAUGAGCCGAUGUCGGAUUAGCUAGUUGGCGGGGUAAAGGCCCACCAAGGCGACGAUCCGUAGCUGGUCUGAGAGGAUGAUCAGCCACACUGGAACUGAGACACGGUCCAGACGCCUACGGGAGGCAGCAGUGGGGAAUAUUGGACAAUGGGCGCAAGCCUGAUCCAGCCAUACCGCGUGGGUGAAGAAGGCCUUCGGGUUGUAUAGCCCUUUUGUUGGGAAAGAAAAGCAGCAGGUUAAUACCCCGCUGUUCUGACGGUACCCAAAGAAUAAGCACCGGCUAACUUCGUG